RNAcentral lists this ribosomal RNA (402 nucleotides) under uncultured bacterium. RNAcentral's name for it is "bacterial SSU rRNA". It matches the Rfam family "Bacterial small subunit ribosomal RNA", at positions 355 to 774 of the family's 1533-position model. The record is from RNAcentral.
UGGGGAAUAUUGCACAAUGGGGGAAACCCUGAUGCAGCGACGCCGCGUGAAGGAAGACGUAUUUCGGUAUGUAAACUUCUAUCAGCAGGGAAGAUAAUGACGGUACCUGACUAAGAAGCCCCGGCUAACUACGUGCCAGCAGCCGCGGUAAUACGUAGGGGGCAAGCGUUAUCCGGAUUUACUGGGUGUAAAGGGAGCGUAGGCGGCGAUGCAAGUCAGAAGUGAAAGCCCGGGGCUUAACCCCGGGACUGCUUUUGAAACUGCACCGCUUGAUUGCCGGAGAGGUAAGUGGAAUUCCUAGUGUAGCGGUGAAAUGCGUAGAUAUUAGGAGGAACACCAGUGGCGAAGGCGGCUUACUGGACGGCUAAUGACGCUGAGGCUCGAAAGCGUGGGGAGCAAACA